AGGCGAGUAGCUCAAUUUGGCAGAGCGGCGGUCUCCAAACCGCAGGUUGCGGGUUCAAGUCCUGCCUCGCCUG
This 73-nucleotide transfer RNA is filed under the name Caldilineaceae bacterium. RNAcentral's name for it is "tRNA-OTHER". It matches the Rfam family "tRNA". Rfam says of the family: Transfer RNA (tRNA) molecules are approximately 80 nucleotides in length. Their secondary structure includes four short double-helical elements and three loops (D, anti-codon, and T loops). The record is from RNAcentral. Lineage: Bacteria; Bacillati; Chloroflexota; Caldilineae; Caldilineales; Caldilineaceae.